GAUGAACGCUGGCGGCGUGCCUCAAACAUGCAAGUCGAGCGAGGCUAUGAGUUACCGCAAGGUAAGGCAUAGCCUAGCGGCGAACGGGUGAGUAACACGUGGGUAACCUACCUGGAAGACAGGGAUAACGAUUCGAAAGGGUCGCUAAUACCUGAUAAUAUCCAUCUGCCGGAUGGCGGAGGGAAGAAAGGGGAAACCCGCUUUCAGAUGGGCCCGCGUCCCAUCAGCUAGUUGGUAAGGUAAAGGCUUACCAAGGCGACGACGGGUAGCCGGUCUGAGAGGAUGUACGGCCACACUGGGACUGAGAUACGGCCCAGACUCCUACGGGAGGCAGCAGUUGGGAAUCUUAGGCAAUGGACGAAAGUCUGACCUAGCGACGCCGCGUGAGGGGAAGAAGGCCUUCGGGUUGUAAACCUCUGUCAUGGGGGAAGAAGGAAGUGACGGUACCCAAGAGGAAGCCCCUGCUAACUACGUG
This 475-nucleotide ribosomal RNA is filed under the name uncultured bacterium. RNAcentral describes it as "bacterial SSU rRNA". It matches the Rfam family "Bacterial small subunit ribosomal RNA", at positions 28 to 507 of the family's 1533-position model. The record is from RNAcentral.